RNAcentral lists this ribosomal RNA (482 nucleotides) under uncultured bacterium. Its description in RNAcentral is "bacterial SSU rRNA". It matches the Rfam family "Bacterial small subunit ribosomal RNA", at positions 28 to 511 of the family's 1533-position model. The record is from RNAcentral.
GAUGAACGCUAGCGGCAGGCUUAACACAUGCAAGUCGAGGGGUAUGCCGAUUUAUCGGCAGAGACCGGCGCACGGGUGCGUAACGCGUAUGCAAUCUACCUUUCACAGAGGGAUAGCCCAGAGAAAUUUGGAUUAAUACCUCAUAGUAUAGCAGUUUCGCAUGAAACCACUAUUAAAGUUCCAACGGUGAAAGAUGAGCAUGCGUCCCAUUAGCUAGAUGGUAAGGUAACGGCUUACCAUGGCUACGAUGGGUAGGGGUCCUGAGAGGGAGAUCCCCCACACUGGUACUGAGACACGGACCAGACUCCUACGGGAGGCAGCAGUGAGGAAUAUUGGUCAAUGGACGCAAGUCUGAACCAGCCAUGCCGCGUGCAGGAUGACGGUCCUAUGGAUUGUAAACUGCUUUUAUACAGGAAGAAACACUCCGACGUGUCGGAGCUUGACGGUACUGUAAGAAUAAGGAUCGGCUAACUCCGUGCCAG